CUGCCGCGGCGAGUGCCACUGCAACUGAACCGCCGCCUUGUGUCAAAGUGAACAGCAAAUAUUAUUUUUUGGACACUUUGCUAUCAGGUCGACGCCGCGUCGCCCAGAGCCAGGAGGCGUCCUGCUCCUCGAUUGAUAUCAGCCUAAGCCGAGGCAAAUGACCCGGCCGUGUCGAUGUUCAGUGCCUGCUCCUGCCGCAACGCAAGCUCCAGUUCCAGCUCAAACUCCAACUCCAGGUGGCAGUCGCUCUGUCUUGACCGGACCUGACCGGGAUCCAUUGUUCGCAGCUCAGUCUUUUGUGCCAGUUGUCGCAUUCGGGGCUUGGAUCCGUGGCCAUGUCUGCCGUCCGACAUCGGGCCAUUGUCUGCGGCGGCCAUUGAAACGGAGAGUGGUUCCAAUUGUGUAUAAUUGAAUAUCGGGAAAGAACUCGACACAACACAAAAUGAGAGAAAUAAAAGAGGAAAAGGAACAAACUGGUUGUAAAUCAACUCGAGCCGGUUCGGGGUCGUUUGUUGCCAAAAAUACAAGAAUUAAUUAUAAUAAUGACAAAGAACAAGCGCUUCGACCUCGCCCCUAUUCCGAUUGCGAUACCGACUCUCACUACGUCCCCAUCAUCCGCCAUCUUCAUCCUCGCGUCCGUUUCGGUGUCCGUGACUCUAGAUGGCCCCCGCCGAGCGCGUUCGGGGGCUAAUUGUGAAUGUGGAUUACAAUUUCGCGUGUGCGUCUCCAGUCCGAGGCGAAGAAAGAAAAGCCAGAAAAAUGAAUUUAACAAUAUUUCCUCCACGGAGUGCUCUUGCUUUGGACUCUUUGGUCGGCCGUCCCCAUUCUGUAGUGGCGUCCACUGCAGUGGAGGUGGAAUCGGAGACGCAGACGGAGCCGCGCGCCAGGCCCGUUCCUGGACGAACAUCUCGCGCUUGGCCGGCCUCUCGUGUUCGCUGGGCGUGACUUCAAUUAAAGUGAUUUGUGGCCUCCGUUUUUGACAUUCGAGACUUAAAUAGUAAGCCUGAUUCAUGGGGCAGCUAAAGUAUUUUUGCACACCGUCCCCGACCCAACAAAGUCGCCCUGUCACGCACUGAGCCACGAAGUCGCCUCUCAGGGGGCUGAUUGAAUUGGGCACCCCGUCUGCUCACACCCAGACAAAAUGCCGUCGGGGCUAAGCAAAUGCCAGUCCAUGCGAAGCGGGUAGCAAAAAUGCGCCAUCAUGGCACGGCAUAAGAAGAAGAUAACAAAGAAGAAGAAGCGCGGAUGCGAGAGAGAGAGCGAAAGAGAGAGCAGUCGCAGAAGAGAGCAAAAAAUUCGGAAUGAAUGCCUUUGGAAUGUGGUGAUUCCGAUACGCCGACGCUGACGUCGCAGUCGCUGUCGCUGGCAUGGCUGCCUAUCGACAGCAGUGGCAGCCAUCAUGGAUGAGAGAGAAAACAACGGUCUCGUUCUCGCUGGAGCCACAGCCAUAGCAGCCAUGCUGUCCGAAACGCUGCCGCUAGCACUCACCUGCGGCGGCGGCUGUUGUGAAGUUCUGUGACGUGACUGAAAAAAUGUCGGAGCCAAGAGCCAAGCCCGGGCCGGGCCGAGAUCGGAAUAGAAAUCCGAAACGUGACAGGGAAAAAGGAGAAAGACAAUCGUUGUGCGGGCGAGUGCUCCUGUUGCGGCGGCUGUGCCGGCCAACUGCGCCUGCGUCGGGGCCCGGGAAUAGGACGGGCACUGGGCCCGGACCUGGACUCGAAUCCCAACAAGGACUUUCAGGGUUUGAUUCCGUUUCGGCCCCUGGGGAGAGGAUGUCGCCAGGCUGCAGCUGUUCCAGCUCUUCGACGUGGGACGCAGACGGGACUCUGGACUCUCUCAUCUGCGUGUGUGUGUGUGCUAGGCGUGUGUGCGGUUGUGUGUUUUUAUGGCAUUUGUGGAUUAUACCCAUAAAAACUACACUUCCCCACGGAGAUACAGAGCGCACGAACAAAGGAUGAUAAUUGGAAAAGUCCCGCAGCCACUCAACUGAUACAACCUGUCGCACGGGAGAUUACAACGGAGCUGUUUCUUUUAUGGUUUGUUCCGCUUUUGUUUAGGGGUCCCGUCCCAAGGAUCAGCACGCAAUCCCACCUCCAGCUCAACUCAACACGAAUCGACUCGACUCGAUUCCACUCAUGCCGUUAUUUCCAUCCCUCUUUCGGUUUGCGGAGGCAACUCAAAAUAGUGUUUUAUUGCUGUAAAUUAUUCUUUCAGUUAUUUACUUUUUAUUUGCCGCUGCUCUGUGCUCUCUGGCCUUCCCGCUCGGGCAGCGUUCACCCAGUUUCAAAUUUUUAUUAGUUUAUUACGAUUAUUAUCGUUUAAUGGGGCUCGUUUGCACCGCUGACGCUCACUCGUUAUUGUUGUUGUAAAAGUUUUUGUAGUUCUUUUUGGUUGCUGCUGCUUUUGCGGUUGAGCAGAGCAACGUGUGAAGGUGUUUUAUUAUUUGUUUUGAUUAUCAAAAUGAGCAUUUUACAUUUUUCCGGUCGUUGGGCGGACCACCUGCCCAUGGCCCAUGGCCCUUGGCCUAUGGCUGAAUGGCAGUAAAUCACUGCCCGCUGUGAGUGCUCCGUGAGCAUGUGCGAGUGCACCCAGUGGGGCCAGGCACUCACUCCUUCAUUCGCACUCGCAGUACGACCCAUAAACUUAAGACAAAGUGUGGCAAAAUGCUUAAUUUGGAAUUUAUGAGCAAUUAAUUUUAAAAUUCUCUUGUGUCCGUUAACGCUCCUCCACCACCACACCCCAACCCCACCACGUCUGACACCAAGCCAUAAAAGAUCCGCUAAAAUUUGAUUAUUUAGCCACUCCGCUGAUUGAUCAUUAUUCAGUUGUUAUCGCUCAACACGAACACGGGAUUUGGCAAUCCGAGCCAGGCCAAUUGGGCAACGGCCAUAAAACUACUCGAAAGCCAAUUACAAUUGAAUUAUUCGGGUUGGUCGUAAAUCGAGAAUCAUAUUAUAUUUGACAGCUACCUUAGAAAGAGAGAGUGCAUGUAGAUAAGGGAAUUUAAAUAUAAUAUUACAUAUAGAAAAUGUAAACACUAAAAAUGCAUAAG
Molecule: RNA transcript, 3052 nt
Organism: Drosophila guanche
Lineage: Eukaryota; Metazoa; Arthropoda; Insecta; Diptera; Drosophilidae
Exons: 7
Source: RefSeq, a predicted model, not a curated record